ACAGAGGGGGCAAGCGUUGUUCGGAAUUACUGGGCGUAAAGGGCGCGUAGGCGGCCCGCUAAGUCGAACGUGAAAUCCCUGGGCUCAACCCAGGAACUGCGUCCGAUACUGGUGGGCUCGAAUCCGGGAGAGGGAUGUAGAAUUCCAGGUGUAGCGGUGAAAUGCGUAGAUAUCUGGAGGAACACCGGUGGCGAAGGCGGCAUCCUGGACCGGCAUUGACGCUGAGGCGCGAAAGCCAGGGGAGCAAACCGGA
RNAcentral lists this ribosomal RNA (253 nucleotides) under uncultured prokaryote. RNAcentral describes it as "partial 16S ribosomal RNA". It matches the Rfam family "Bacterial small subunit ribosomal RNA", at positions 525 to 777 of the family's 1533-position model. The record is from RNAcentral.